Long non-coding RNA from Triticum aestivum (bread wheat), 471 nucleotides. RefSeq lists it as uncharacterized. NCBI's taxonomy places the organism in Eukaryota, Viridiplantae, Streptophyta, Magnoliopsida, Poales, Poaceae. The record is from RefSeq and is a predicted model, not a curated record. The transcript has 2 exons.
GCAGCAGACGAGCACGCCUAGCACUGUCUCACUCCCUCCAUGGCCAGGUCCAUGAACACCUUCCAUACAGCAGUGGUACUCUCAGUGCUUCUUCUCAUCUGCUUUGCUAACCACGGGCAAUGCAGAAACUUGGAGCAAGUCAUGGAAAACGGCAGCAAGAUCCACUUACCAUACGGGCUCUGCGAAGCUAGAACCUGCGUGGAUAUGCCGGAUUGUUACUGCUGUUUGAUAGACAACACCUGCCACCCUUCGAGUGAAACGUGCAUUAAAGCCUGUCAAAGCUCUUUCUCUACACGUGUUUUCCGCAGCCCUCCCAUCUAAUCUUUACAUGCAUUGCAUGACUUAAUUCUGGAAUAAUGUGUAGUUUUUAUUGCUCGGUUGCUCCACGAUCCGAGUUUUUGAGUGUUGAGAAUUGAAAGGUUUCUGUUGCGUUCCUCAUCACAAAAUAAUUAAAUAUAUGUUGUGUUAAUC